ACAACAUAGCUGUUACACUACUUUUCUCUUUUUUUUCCUGUUUUCAGAGAGUACGUAAAAAAUAAGAAUGCCUGCAUUUUUUAGUUUUCAUGUUAUCAAAUUGUAGCUGAAAAGAAGAUUUCCAAAGUCACCAAAAAUCCUACCCUGUCUCUAACAGAAAAUAUGGUGCCAAUGGAUUUCAGGACAUCACAAGAAGAAUUGACUGGCUUUUAUCCUUUUCUUAUUUACUUUCGGGUUGUAAUUGUAACACAAUGUUAUGUAUUGCGAUGGUACUUGCAAUAUAAUUGCUGUGAGGCGUAAAUAUUUGUUUCUUUUUCUCUGAAUGAAAACGUUUGUGGGUGAUCUGAUCGCACAGCGCUUAUGUUGCAUUGGAUUCAAGGUUGUUGAAACCAUGGGUGAUCACUUGGUACAACAUCGUAAGCUGCAGGCUAAUGAGAAACGUUCUUUAUACAACUUCAACUUUAAGCCUUUUUUCAGGUCAAGAAAUCUGUUUUGAGCUUUCAAAAGUUCAGAGGGGCAUUGUUUGCUGUUACUUACUUCAGAGACACCUAGUUUCUAGGGAUUCCUCAAUCUUUCAACAGCCUUAUUGAAGCUGUCAAAUCUAGUACUAAUAAAAACAAAAACAAAUAAAUUUAGGUAUCUAAUAACGUUUUGAAAGUAUAGAUUCUAUUUUGAGAACAAAAACCAAUGUUCACACAAAAUAAAUGGAAACUUCUUCUCGAUGGCAAAGUAAGCUUGAAUCUGACACAAUUAACAAAGUAUCUCCGUAGACACACUAUAUUUCUGAUCAUUAAGAGAAGAUUGAAUUAAAAAAUUGAAAGUAAAAGAUAGUAGGUACAUAGUAGUGAAAUAACUUUUCAGAAACUUCGACUUAUUCUAAAUUUUUCUUCUUUGUAUUACAGGAAUUGUCAACCGUUUCUUGUCGAGUAAAUUUUUCAUGCCGUUGGGUCGAUUGACAUACUGCAUUUAUCUCACUCACAUUGUAGUGAUCAUUCACAAACUGGGUACAGCCAGACAGCCUGCUUACAUCAGUGCUUAUGAUACGUUCCAUGAGACAAUAGGUGACAUUAUUAUCAGCAUUGUAUUGGCAACUAUCUUAUCUCUUCUUUUUGAAUCACCGAUAAUGGUCCUGGAGAAAACCCUCUUCCACGACAGCGAAGUUCAAGAGAAUGAUCCUGAAAUGCCGAACACAGACCGACGUUCAAAUUCAGAGUUAUCUACUAGCUACGGAGUUAAUAAUCCAAUUUAUCACUACGCUACUGAUCGUUUUGAUGAGACAUAGGGGAUCAAUUAAAAGAAGAAAAAUAUUUAAGUUGUUAGAUUUUUUUGCUUGAAACUAAUGAUCCCAUCCCAAAUACAAACCCAGUAACUAUAAUUCAAUGUUUCCAAAAGUGAAAAUUUUCCAUCAAUUUUCAUGAAUAAUACUGAAUGUAGGUACAGAGGAAAAUAAAUAUUACUUGUGGGCAUCUUUCUUCAGUUCAGAAAAUGAACUUUUAGAAAAAAGACGAGGAUGUAUUUGCACCACCUUAAGAAUAUCCAUGUUUCUUCUACAUAUUCCUUUGCUCAACAUGGUAGAAUAAAUCCAUCUACAGAGCUCCUGUCCCAGACGAAAGGCCCUAAUUAACCUUGAUGUUGCUCAGCAAAGCUUUAGUACAAAGGUGUAAAAUAUAAUUUAUUACCUGCACAGUGCAAAAACAGCUGAUGGGCUUGCAUCAAAUUUUCAUCAGCGAGCUUGCUGCAGAAAACCCUCUUGCAAAGAGGAAAACCAAAGUAAAUAUAUAUCCUACAUCUUUGCCUCCCUGUGAAAAUUAGAAAACGUUAGUGGACUGCAGUGAAUUAGAAGUACUACAGCUCAGAGCCCAAAUCUUGUUGGUUCACAGUCAACCGCAAGUUGAAAAACAAAACCUCUCAAUUUGACUGUAAAUCAUGAAAAUUAUAUUCUAAAUUCAAGCCGUGCGCAAGUGGAGCUAUUUUUGGACACUGGUUGGUUUUUCAACAAUACAAAUCAUUAAUCAGUGAUCGAAUAACAAUUUCGACAAUCAUACUGCAACUUUAAACCAUAAUUAAUUUGGCCAACAAGAUUUGGGGCUGGUGUAUACAUAAAAAAACACAAACGAGGAAAAAGAAAGAACCCAAGUAGCAUUGUCAUCUGCUUUCUAGGUGGCGCUCAUCAAGAAAAUGUCUACUUUUUAGAUAGAACAAUUUUCUUGAAAGAAAAUAGGUAUAAAGUAGAUCUAGAAAAUAGACACAAGAAAAUAGAAAGAAAAUACAUUUUUCCUUGCAUUUUUAAAAAGAAAACAUUACGAAAUUGGCUAGAAAAUAAUUCUACUUUCAAUAAAUUUUCUAUCUUUUUUCCAAAUGGAAAGUUGACAGAAAGUAGACCUAUGAAAUAGAUCUAUUUUCUUUGGUCAGACUUAUGACUCGCAAUGUUUUUUCUCUCUAUUUUCUAGAUAACUCUUAUUUUCUUGGUAUUUUCUAGAAGUUUUCUUAAUAUUUUUUUUCUAGAAAAAAAUUCUAUUUUGCCACUUGGGAAAAAAAAAACACUAAGAAAUGUCCCAAACUGUAUGUAACAAGGUGGUGAAAUGGUGCUGGGUCCACACCAUUUCGCGGGAAAAACAAAGCCAAAGAGUUCCAAAAAUUUCGAUUGGACUCAAAAAUGUUUGAGUUCUGAAUACCAGUACAAGACUGAGAUGGGGAGAGUGAUCAGCUCAGGCAGCUUCCAUUGGAAUAUCAAGUUGAGGUCAUGUCAUGCCAAGCUCAAACAUUUUUGACUCCAAUUGAAAUUUUUAGAACCUUUGGGCUUUGUUUUCCCCUCAAAAUGGUGUGGACCCAGCACCAUUUCACGCCCUUAUUGUUACAAAAACACACAAAGGCAUGCAAUUCCAGCCAUCCAUAGAAGAAAAGAAACGCCUCUAUACACAGUGGAUCAAGAUCACUCCACAAGAUGCAAGUUGAAACAUUCUGAUACAUGUUUCCUCUUCACAAUUUUACCUAGAAUAGAAUUCCUGCAACGGAGGUAACUGAAAUUGACUCCUCACCAAGAUAUUACCUAAAAUUCUUAUUUAACACUGGUUAAAAAAUUUGAAUUUUCCGUUCACGAGAAAAUCCUGAGUUUGUGAAAGUCAAAAAGGGCACUAUUGCAGACAUCUUAAUCAUACAAUUUUUCCCCCUGACCAUGUGUUGUUCAUAGUCUAUGAAUGUUCAACAGCCAAGCUGAAGCGUCAAGAUUGAAGUCGCCACAUUUCUAUACUGCAAAUACAGUUGCAGUAACAUUUUAUGUGCAAUUUAACUCUACUAGAUCAUGUUUGUUGUUUGUUUGGUUUUUUUUUUUUUUUUUUUUUUUUUUUUUUUUUUUUUUUUUUUUUUUUUUUUUUUUUUUUUUUUUUUUUUUUGGAGUGGAAAGUUUGAACAGAUGUAUUGAAAAUCCAAAAUGAGAAUACAAAAUCAUUAUGCUAAAAUUUUCACCUUGUCUGGGGGUCCAUUGCUAUACUUAAAACAUGCCUAGGUACCUUAGUUACAGGAUCUUUUUGUAUCGAACUAGUUUCCUCUCAAUAAGUGAGCUUAAUAUCCUCAUCCCGUGAGAUAUUGUUCACGUAAAUGACAGAUGUGUGACUCUAUUGAUUUCUGAUAUAGGUAUACUUACACCGGAAACACAGCAAUCCACAUCAAUUUUCAGGAAGGUCUUGAGAUGUGCCCAUAAUAGUAGCAUAUUGACAACUUUUGAAGCACCUUCAUUUUGAAUGUGAAAAUUAAGAAUCAAAGAUAAAACUGAAAAAAGGAGAAAAUUGUUAUGAGGAAAGAAGUUGUAGCAAUCAGUAAAAAAUCUAUUUUGAUGAGUCAAAGAUAAGUCAAUUUCCGGCCACAGUAUCACAAAUGCUGUUUGUAUUGGAAUUGAGUUAUAUAUGGAUGGUUUUGAAUUAAUAAGAUGCAUUUACCUACUGAUGAAAAUAAUAAUUUUCUUUACAUUACUUAAAAGAGAAAAAUUUGAAAAAAACUCUGUUAAAUCUAUGAGCGCCCGUAUCACAAACGCCAUGGUUUCUUAGAAUACACCGAGAACGCAGUAUCACAAGCGCCAAUUUUCAAAAAAAAAAAUGGUUUUUUUUUAAAGAAAUUUUAUUAAAAUUCAAGGCAGGAAGUUGUGCUGGAUCGGUAUUCCAAGUUUCAAGCCGAGAUUCCAUUUGAAGCGGUCGCAAAUCAGUUUUUGUGUCUCCUGAAAAGUUGGCACAGUGGCGCUUGUGAUACUUUGGCCGGAAGGUGACAAAGUAUGCUUCUACUUUGUUUCAGCUCUUUCUUUACAAAGAUUGAAACGCAAUAAUCGUAUCAUAGCAAAGUUUGUUCAAUGUUUCAGUGUUCAUGUACUUCCUAGGAGGAAUCACCUUAAAGUCACACCUAGUCAAGUGGUCCAUGUUGUACUUACUAUUAUCGCUCAAUGCAAAAAUCUCAGGUCCACUGGAGCCUUACUUCCGGUAUAUAUUUCAGACAGAUUUUAAGGCACCAACGUAAAUUUGAUUGCAAUACUUACCUAAUUACAAUAUGUAGAUGGAAAGGACAUAUGUUGACUUUAUUUAUUACAUUACAAAUAAGAGCGGCAGGGUUUGAGAAAAUCUAUAAUUCUAAAUAAAAGGCGCCGGCAAACUGGGCAAACUGAAGAAUGAUGAAAAUCAAAACAUAACCUCAAACCUGUUAUCACCUUAUCACUAAAUUCGGACUCCCGAACUUCCAUCCAAAAACAAUCAAUCGAUGUGCGCUCUAUGCUCUAUUUAUUUUCAUGAUCUGACGUUUCUCGUGAUAGUGGACUCCACAUUUCUUACGCGAUCAGUUACGCUUUUAAAAAAAAGAUUUUUACGUUCCGAAUAAGUGUUCACUCAUCGUAACCGAGUGUUCAGUGCAAUCGAGCCGACUCGCGGCUUGAAUUUUUGUGUCCCAAGUUCCAACCACACCCAAAAAUAGGCCUCUCGGAUACUGCCAUCAUGGACAUGAUGAUAACUAAUAUACAACAACAGAGACAAAUAACAGAGCAGCUUCGGAGGGAAGCUGCAAUUAAAAGAAUCCUGGUGUCGCAGGCUGUGCAAGAUAUCAUGAAGUACAUCCAGGAGCACACGCAGGAGGACUACCUGUUGGUUGGGUUCAGCUCGCAGAAGGCUAACCCGUUCCGAGAGAAGAGCAGUUGUUCCGUUUUGUAACUCAUCGGUUCCCUCAUUGUGCAACGAGCAGUUACUGACAUGUAAAAUCAUUUCAUUCACUAAUUUUAAGGUACCUGGCACCAAGCAUAGUAAUAAUUAAUCGGAUGUGUAAUUUUUCAGCUAUAGAAUGAUGCUUGGUCUCAGUAUUUGUGUUUUUUAAACGUAUUUCUCCAUGUAAGUCUCUGUAUUUUCAUUGUCGUCAUUAACUUUUUUUAUAUUAUUUUGUCUCGAUGAUUUUAAAGUUACAAUUUUCAAUACUUAAUAGUUUCUCAUACUAUUUCCUUCACCAUCUGGUUGCCAGUCGUUUCUCAAGCAGGCUUUGAGGGGAUCAAAUUGUUGACUAAAACCUGUUCAUAAAGUCAAUUUUAUCAUUUCAAUAUCUUUCUGGAAGUCACUAAGUUUUGAUAUUCCUCCUUGCUAUUACUGACUCGGGCGAAGUUCUUUUGCCGUAUCUCAUUCACCUUUCAACUAUCGAUCCUCCAAGUAUUUUCUGUCUUCAUUCACAAUUACAGAAAAUAGAUUUCUUUCUUUCAAAGCCUAUCAGGAUCGAGAAUAUCAUGAAUAUUUUCUGUUUGCAAUUUACAGCCUGAAGGAGUA
RNAcentral lists this long non-coding RNA (5780 nucleotides) under Bemisia tabaci. Its description in RNAcentral is "lncRNA ENSSSA2NGG002803". Lineage: Eukaryota; Metazoa; Arthropoda; Insecta; Hemiptera; Aleyrodidae. The record is from RNAcentral.